Molecule: ribosomal RNA, 497 nt
Filed under: uncultured bacterium
Lineage: Bacteria
Description: partial 16S ribosomal RNA
Rfam family: Bacterial small subunit ribosomal RNA
Source: RNAcentral
GAUGAACGCUGGCGGCGUGCCUAAUACAUGCAAGUCGAGCGAACAGACGAGGAGCUUGCUCCUCUGACGUUAGCGGCGGACGGGUGAGUAACACGUGGAUAACCUACCUAUAAGACUGGGAUAACUUCGGGAAACCGGAGCUAAUACCGGAUAAUAUAUUGAACCGCAUGGUUCAAUAGUGAAAGACGGUUUUGCUGUCACUUAUAGAUGGAUCCGCGCCGCAUUAGCUAGUUGGUAAGGUAACGGCUUACCAAGGCAACGAUGCGUAGCCGACCUGAGAGGGUGAUCGGCCACACUGGAACUGAGACACGGUCCAGACUCUUACGGGAGGCAGCAGUAGGGAAUCUUCCGCAAUGGGCGAAAGCCUGACGGAGCAACGCCGCGUGAGUGAUGAAGGUCUUCGGAUCGUAAAACUCUGUUAUUAGGGAAGAACAAAUGUGUAAGUAACUAUGCACGUCUUGACGGUACCUAAUUAGAAAGCCACGGCUAACUACGUG